UGUAGCUGGCCUUUCGGGGCAUGUGCACGCCCGAGCCCUUAAUCCACCCACACCUGUGAACCUAAUGUAGGUCGCCCCUCAAAAAGGUGGCCUAUGUCUUACUCAUCGACCCAUCGUAUGUCUCAUAGAAUGUAAAUCGAUAUCCUCGCCCUGAAAAAGCGUUGAUAAACUUAUACAACUUUCAACAACGGAUCUCUUGGCUCUCGCAUCGAUGAAGAACGCAGCGAAAUGCGAUAAGUAAUGUGAAUUGCAGAUUUUCAGUGAAUCAUCGAAUCUUUGAACGCACCUUGCGCUCCUUGGUAUUCCGAGGAGCAUGCCUGUUUGAGUGUCAUUAAAUUCUCAACUCCAAGGGUUUCACGACCUUUUUGGGGAUUGGACUUGGAGCGUGCCGGCGUCGACGUCGGCUCCUCUCAAAUGCAUCGGCGGAAUUCGAUCUUUGGCUUCCGGACAAUCAGUGUGAUAAUCGUGUUGCGCUGUCGUCUGAAUCCUCAAAGCCCGCUCAUAAUGGUCUUCGGACAAAUCAUCAUCAAAUUUGACCUCAAAUCAGGUAGGACUACCCGCUGAACUUAAGCAUAUCAAUAA
RNAcentral lists this ribosomal RNA (582 nucleotides) under uncultured fungus. RNAcentral's name for it is "eukaryotic LSU rRNA". The stretch from base 177 to 331 matches the Rfam family "5.8S ribosomal RNA". Lineage: Eukaryota; Fungi. The record is from RNAcentral.